This is a long non-coding RNA of Xenia sp. Carnegie-2017, 927 nucleotides long. RefSeq lists it as uncharacterized. The transcript is spliced from 7 exons. Lineage: Eukaryota; Metazoa; Cnidaria; Anthozoa; Malacalcyonacea; Xeniidae. The record is from RefSeq and is a predicted model, not a curated record.
AUAUAUUAAGUACGUAUCAUCUAGCCACGAGCAGUCACUUAGUUUACCGUAAAACCUUCCACUGUGCAUCAUUAUAUUGAAGAAGUCAAUUGACCAAGGCUGUCAUGCAGAAAAUUUGAUCUCGUAAUGUAGCUAUAUAUUACGUACGUAUCAUCUAGCCACGAGCAGUCACUUAGUUUACCGUAAAACCUUCCACUGUGCAUCUUUAUAUUGAAGAAGUCAAUUGACCAAGGCUGUCAUGCAGAAAAUUUGAUCUCGCAAUGUAGCUAUAUAUUACGUACGUAUCAUCUAGCCACGAGCAGUCACUUAGUUUACCGUAAAACCUUCCACUGUGCAUCUUUAUAUUGAAGAAGUCAAUUGACCAAGCCACGAGCAGUCACUUAGUUUACCGUAAAACCUUCCACUGUGCAUCUUUAUAUUAAAGAAGUCAACUGACCAAGGCUGUCAUGCAUAAAAUUUGAUCUCGUAAUGUAGCUAUAUAUUAAGUACGUAUCAUCUAGCCAAGAGCAGUCACUUAGUUUACCGUAAAACCUUCCACUGUGCAUCAUUAUAUUGAAGAAGUCAAUUGACCAAGGAACAACGAAAUGAAGUGUAUGACGUAUGUUAUCAUUUUGCUUGCUGUUUUUCAUUGUUCGCAAACCUUUCCAAGAACAGGUGUCGAAAAACCAGGUAAAAUAUUCAUGUCAUGCAAGUGCCCAUCUCCCGCAGGAAAACCGGAUUUCUACGCUUAUUUUGUUUUACGAAUGAAAAAUGUUGUGGUGAACAACACUAUAUGGUGUGCUGCUAUAAAUAUCGUUGAUGAUUUUUUUCUCACAAAUGAAGUAUAUCGUAUUGAAACUAAAAUUGAAUAUAAAUUGAUAUCCUCAUGAAUUAAUUAAUGGUUGAAGAAUAUAAUAUUGUUUCUUAGUAAUAAAAGAUGAUCUUUGA